UACGUAGGUGGCAAGCGUUGUCCGGAAUUAUUGGGCGUAAAGCGCGCGCAGGCGGUCCUUUAAGUCUGAUGUGAAAGCCCACGGCUCAACCGUGGAGGGUCAUUGGAAACUGGGGGACUUGAGUGCAGGAGAGAAGAGUGGAAUUCCACGUGUAGCGGUGAAAUGCGUAGAGAUGUGGAGGAACACCAGUGGCGAAGGCGAGCCUCUGGACAGUUACCGACGCUGAGGCACGAAGGUCAGGGGAGCAAACGGG
RNAcentral lists this ribosomal RNA (253 nucleotides) under uncultured bacterium. RNAcentral's name for it is "partial 16S ribosomal RNA". It matches the Rfam family "Bacterial small subunit ribosomal RNA", at positions 524 to 776 of the family's 1533-position model. The record is from RNAcentral.